AUUGAACGCUGGCGGCAUGCUUUACACAUGCAAGUCGAACGGCAGCGCGGGCUUCGGCCUGGCGGCGAGUGGCGAACGGGUGAGUAAUACAACGGAACGUGCCCAGUAGUGGGGGAUAGCUCGGCGAAAGCCGGAUUAAUACCGCAUACGACCUGAGGGUGAAAGCGGGGGAUCUUCGGACCUCGCGCUUUUGGAGCGGCCGAUGGCAGAUUAGCUAGUUGGUGGGGUAAAGGCCUACCAAGGCGACGAUCUGUAGCUGGUCUGAGAGGACGACCAGCCACACUGGGACUGAGACACGGCCCAGACUCCUACGGGAGGCAGCAGUGGGGAAUUUUGGACAAUGGGCGAAAGCCUGAUCCAGCAAUGCCGCGUGUGUGAUGAAGGCCUUCGGGUUGUAAAGCACUUUUGGCGGGAACGAAAAGGACUGUGCCAAUACCACGGUUCGAUGACGGUACCCGCAGAAUAAGCACCGGCUAACUACGUG
Molecule: ribosomal RNA, 484 nt
Filed under: uncultured bacterium
Lineage: Bacteria
Description: partial 16S ribosomal RNA
Rfam family: Bacterial small subunit ribosomal RNA
Source: RNAcentral